RNAcentral lists this ribosomal RNA (254 nucleotides) under uncultured bacterium. Its description in RNAcentral is "partial 16S ribosomal RNA". It matches the Rfam family "Bacterial small subunit ribosomal RNA", at positions 524 to 776 of the family's 1533-position model. The record is from RNAcentral.
UACGUAGGGUGCGAGCGUUGUCCGGAAUUAUUGGGCGUAAAGAGCUCGUAGGCGGUGUGUCGCGUCGGCCGUGAAAACCUGGGGCUCAACUCUGGGCGUGCGGUCGAUACGGGCAUCACUGGAGUUCGGCAGGGGAGACUGGAAUUCCUGGUGUAGCGGUGAAAUGCGCAGAUAUCAGGAGGAACACCGGUGGCGAAGGCGGGUCUCUGGACAGUUCCUGACACUGAGGCACGAAGGCCAGGGGAGCAAACGGG